This is a long non-coding RNA of Thamnophis elegans (Western terrestrial garter snake), 304 nucleotides long. RefSeq lists it as uncharacterized. The transcript has 2 exons. NCBI's taxonomy places the organism in Eukaryota, Metazoa, Chordata, Lepidosauria, Squamata, Natricidae. The record is from RefSeq and is a predicted model, not a curated record.
CCCCUUGAGUACUGUGAAGACGUUACCAUGGGAACUCCACUCCGCUGUACAGUAGAAGCCAUUUUGCGGCAGUAUGGUAGAAGCCAUAUAAAGGCACAACAGGCUGCAUCUUAACAACAGACACCCCGAGGGGUGUUAGCAAUGUCGUACCUCCACAGUCUUUGUCUCCAGAAGCUCGGAAUGUUUUACACAUAUCCUAAAAGGGAGACCCCACUUGUGACCCAUCCUCCACCCCGAAGCACCGGAAGGCAGAAUAAGAAGCCACGGAUGGAAACGAAACAACCUAGAACUAAGGAGAAAUGUC